GCCAGGUGUGGUGGCGGGCGCCUGUAAUCCCAGCUACUUAGGAGGCUGAGACGGGAGAAUUGCUUGAACCCGGGAGGCGGAGGUUGCAGUGAGCUGAGAUCACGCCACUGCACUCCAGCCUGGGUGACAGAGCGAGAUUUCAUCUCAA
Molecule: non-coding RNA, 148 nt
Filed under: Homo sapiens (human)
Lineage: Eukaryota; Metazoa; Chordata; Mammalia; Primates; Hominidae
Source: Rfam by way of RNAcentral